This 146-nucleotide microRNA precursor is filed under the name Rehmannia glutinosa. RNAcentral describes it as "miR5139 stem-loop (rgl-MIR5139)". The record is from miRBase by way of RNAcentral. Lineage: Eukaryota; Viridiplantae; Streptophyta; Magnoliopsida; Lamiales; Orobanchaceae.
AGUUAUAUCAAAACCUGGCUCUGAUACCAAGAGGAAUUGAUGAUCUUUAUUCAUGAAAAGAGAGAACUAUAUAUAGAUAUACAACGAUAUGUCGAAGACGAAAUUUUUAUCUCAAUAUGGGGUUAUUAGACCAACUUUGGGUGGCA